GACGGAGGGUGCUAGCGUUGUUCGGAAUCACUGGGCGUAAAGGGCGCGUAGGCGGCUUUGGCAGUCGGCUCGUGAAAGCCCGGGGCUCAACCCCGGAGGUGCGGCCGAUACACCAAGGCUGGAGGCCGGAAGAGGAGGGUGGAAGACCCAGUGUAGAGGUGAAAUUCGUAGAUAUUGGGUGGAACACCGGUGGCGAAAGCGGCUCUCUGGUCCGGUUCUGACGCUGAGGCGCGAAAGCGUGGGGAGCAAACAGG
Molecule: ribosomal RNA, 254 nt
Filed under: uncultured bacterium
Lineage: Bacteria
Description: partial 16S ribosomal RNA
Rfam family: Bacterial small subunit ribosomal RNA
Source: RNAcentral